UACUCAGAGGUAGGUAUGGUAAUAUCAUUUCAUCGGGUAAAAUUGUUUUUUUGAUAAUACUCAGAGGUAGAUAUGGUAAUAACAUUUCAUCGGGUAAAAUUGUUUUUCUGAUAGUACUCAGAGGUAGGUAUGGUAAUAACAUUUCAUCUGGUAAAAUUGUUUUUCUGAUAAUACUUAGAGGUAGGUAUGGUAAUAAUAUUUCAUUUAGUAAAAUUGUUUUUCUGAUAAAACUCAGAGGU
Non-coding RNA from Biomphalaria pfeifferi, 239 nucleotides. Lineage: Eukaryota; Metazoa; Mollusca; Gastropoda; Planorbidae. The record is from the annotation of a GenBank genome assembly.